ACAAUUAUUAUUGAGCUCUUCCUUCCCCUUUUACCGGGGGGUGGUAGGUUCUCUAACACUUGUGUGCACUGUUUAUUGUCUCUCGGCGUUUUGAGGGUUGGGCAUAAAAAACCCUUUGGCUGUUAAAAGGCUACCCCCGAGCGCCAAUUUUUAAACUUGAUUUUAUAUAUACUAUAAGCCUUUAAUUUUAAAUUUAUAAUUUGAAAA
Molecule: unclassified non-coding RNA, 207 nt
Filed under: uncultured Chytridiomycota
Lineage: Eukaryota; Fungi; Chytridiomycota
Description: sequence contains ITS1
Source: RNAcentral